RNAcentral lists this ribosomal RNA (271 nucleotides) under uncultured bacterium. Its description in RNAcentral is "partial 16S ribosomal RNA". It matches the Rfam family "Bacterial small subunit ribosomal RNA", at positions 793 to 1055 of the family's 1533-position model. The record is from RNAcentral.
GUCCACGCCCUAAACGAUGCGUGCUCGGUGUGGGGGAUGACUCGAUCGUCCCCCGUGCCCUAAGCUUACGCGGUAAGCACGCCGCCUGGGGACUACGGCCGCAAGGUUAAAACUCAAAGGAAUAGACGGGGACCCCACACAAGCGGUGGAGCAUGGGGUUUAAUUCGAUACUAAGCGUGGAACCUCACCCAGGCUUGACAUCGCGAGGAAUCUCCCGGAAACGGGGGAGUGCCGCAAGGAACCUCGAUGACAGGUGUUGCAUGGUCGUCGU